ACUGACAGCCAUGGUUACCGCGGCUGCUGGCACGGAGUUAGCCGGUGCUUCUUCUGUGAGUGAUGUCCUUCCUGCCGGCUAUUAACCCGCAGGCCUUCUUCCUCACUGAAAGUGCUUUACAACCCGAAGGCCUUCUUCACACACGCGGCAUGGCUGGAUCAGGGUUGCCCCCAUUGUCCAAUAUUCCCCACUGCUGCCUCCCGUAGGAGUCUGGGCCGUGUCUCAGUCCCAGUGUGGCUGAUCAUCCUCUCAGACCAGCUACGGAUCGUCGCCUUGGUGAGCCGUUACCUCACCAACCAGCUAAUCCGACAUAGGCUCAUCCGAUAGCGCGAGGCCCGAAGGUCCCCCGCUUUCCCCCGUAGGGCGUAUGCGGUAUUAGCCUGGGUUUCCCCCAGGUUAUCCCCCACUACCGGGCAGAUUCCCUAUGCUAUACUCACCCGUCCGCCGCUCGCCACCAGGGAGCCAAGCUCCCCGUGCUGCCGCUCGACUUGCAUGUGUUAGGCCUGCCGCCAGCGUUCAAU
This 521-nucleotide ribosomal RNA is filed under the name uncultured bacterium. Its description in RNAcentral is "partial 16S ribosomal RNA". The record is from RNAcentral.